Molecule: long non-coding RNA, 437 nt
Filed under: Vigna radiata
Lineage: Eukaryota; Viridiplantae; Streptophyta; Magnoliopsida; Fabales; Fabaceae
Description: long non-coding RNA (VRAD_LNC009370)
Source: RNAcentral
GGUCGUAUCCCAUCUGCUGUCGGUUACCAACCAACCUUGUCUACUGAUCUUGGAGGUCUUCAAGAGCGUAUUACAACAACCAAAAAGGGUUCAAUCACCUCUGUCCAAGCUAUCUAUGUGCCUGCUGAUGACUUGACAGAUCCUGCUCCAGCAACAACCUUUGCUCAUCUGGAUGCAACAACAGUGUUGUCACGACAGGUUUGAUUUCAUUGCAUUUUUUGAAGUAUCUGUUGCAUAGAGGUUUUUGUUAUUGUAAACUAAAUAGUUUGGUUUUGAUGAUAUUGAAUAGAUCUCCGAGCUUGGUAUCUAUCCUGCUGUUGACCCCUUGGAUUCUACAUCUCGUAUGCUGUCACCCCUUAUUUUGGGUGCGGAGCACUAUGAAACUGCUCGUGGUGUGCAGAAGGUUCUUCAGAACUACAAGAAUCUUCAAGAUAUCA